RNAcentral lists this non-coding RNA (29 nucleotides) under Homo sapiens (human). The record is from RNAcentral. Lineage: Eukaryota; Metazoa; Chordata; Mammalia; Primates; Hominidae.
UCCUUGGUGUUGGCUCGUGGUUGCUCUUC